RNAcentral lists this ribosomal RNA (490 nucleotides) under uncultured bacterium. RNAcentral's name for it is "partial 16S ribosomal RNA". It matches the Rfam family "Bacterial small subunit ribosomal RNA", at positions 29 to 507 of the family's 1533-position model. The record is from RNAcentral.
AGUGAACGCUGGCGGUAGGCCUAACACAUGCAAGUCGAACGGCAGCACAGGAGAGCUUGCUCUCUGGGUGGCGAGUGGCGGACGGGUGAGGAAUACAUCGGAAUCUACCUUUUCGUGGGGGAUAACGUAGGGAAACUUACGCUAAUACCGCAUACGACCUACGGGUGAAAGUGGGGGACCGCAAGGCCUCACGCGAUUAGAUGAGCCGAUGUCCGAUUAGCUAGUUGGCGGGGUAAUGGCCCACCAAGGCGACGAUCGGUAGCUGGUCUGAGAGGAUGAUCAGCCACACUGGAACUGAGACACGGUCCAGACUCCUAAGGGAGGCAGCCGUGGGGAAUAUUGGACAAUGGGCGCAAGCCUGAUCCAGCCAUACCGCGUGGGUGAAGAAGGCCUUCGGGUUGUAAAGCCCUUUUGUUGGGAAAGAAAUCCUGUCGAUUAAUACUCGGUGGGGAUGACGGUACCCAAAGAAUAAGCACCGGCUAACUUCGUG